Molecule: ribosomal RNA, 492 nt
Filed under: uncultured bacterium
Lineage: Bacteria
Description: partial 16S ribosomal RNA
Rfam family: Bacterial small subunit ribosomal RNA
Source: RNAcentral
AGUGAACGCUGGCGGUAGGCCUAACACAUGCAAGUCGAACGGCAGCACAGUAAGAGCUUGCUCUUACGGGUGGCGAGUGGCGGACGGGUGAGGAAUACAUCGGAAUCUACUUUUUCGUGGGGGAUAACGUAGGGAAACUUACGCUAAUACCGCAUACGACCUACGGGUGAAAGCAGGGGAUCUUCGGACCUUGCGCGAUUGAAUGAGCCGAUGUCGGAUUAGCUAGUUGGCGGGGUAAAGGCCCACCAAGGCGACGAUCCGUAGCUGGUCUGAGAGGAUGGUCAGCCACACUGGAACUGAGACACGGUCCAGGGUCCUACGGGAGGCAGCAGUCGGGAAUAUUAGACAGUGGGCGCGAGCAUGAUCCAGUGAGAGCGAGUGUGUGAAGGAGGCGUUCGGGUUGUAAAGACCUUUUGUGGGGUAAGAAAAGUAGCAGGUUGAGACCAAGCUGUUGUGACGGUACCCAAUAAAUAAGCACCGGCUAACUACGUG